GCCCAGAUGGGAUUAGCUUGUUGGUGAGGUAACGGCUCACCAAGGCGACGAUCCCUAGCUGGUCUGAGAGGAUGACCAGCCACACUGGAACUGAGACACGGUCCAGACUCCUACGGGAGGCAGCAGUGGGGAAUAUUGCACAAUGGGCGCAAGCCUGAUGCAGCCAUGCCGCGUGUAUGAAGAAGGCCUUCGGGUUGUAAAGUACUUUCAGCGGGGAGGAAGGUGUUGUGGUUAAUAACCGCAGCAAUUGACGUUACCCGCAGAAGAAGCACCGGCUAACUCCGUGCCAGCAGCCGCGGUAAUACGGAGGGUGCAAGCGUUAAUCGGAAUUACUGGGCGUAAAGCGCACGCAGGCGGUCUGUCAAGUCGGAUGUGAAAUCCCCGGGCUCAACCUGGGAACUGCAUUCGAAACUGGCAGGCUUGAGUCUUGUAGAGGGGGGUAGAAUUCCAGGUGUAGCGGUGAAAUGCGUAGAGAUCUGGAGGAAUACCGGUGGCGAAGGCGGCCCCCUGGACAAAGACUGACGCUCAGGUGCGAAAGCGUGGGGAGCAAACAGGAUUAGAUACCCUGGUAGUCCACGCCGUAAACGAUGUCUACUUGGAGGUUGUGCCCUUGAGGCGUGGCUUCCGGAGCUAACGCGUUAAGUAGACCGCCUGGGGAGUACGGCCGCAAGGUUAAAACUCAAAUGAAUUGACGGGGGCCCGCACAAGCGGUGGAGCAUGUGGUUUAAUUCGAUGCAACGCGAAGAACCUUACCUGGUCUUGACAUCCACAGAAGAAUCCAGAGAUGGAUUUGUGCCUUCGGGAACUGUGAGACAGGUGCUGCAUGGCUGUCGUCAGCUCGUGUUGUGAAAUGUUGGGUUAAGUCCCGCAACGAGCGCAACCCUUAUCCUUUGUUGCCAGCGGUUAGGCCGGGAACUCAAAGGAGAC
Molecule: ribosomal RNA, 927 nt
Filed under: Salmonella enterica
Lineage: Bacteria; Pseudomonadati; Pseudomonadota; Gammaproteobacteria; Enterobacterales; Enterobacteriaceae
Also listed under: 1 other name
Description: bacterial SSU rRNA
Rfam family: Bacterial small subunit ribosomal RNA
Source: RNAcentral